CCCUUAGAUGUUCUGGGCCGCACGCGUGCUACACUGAGUGGAUCAGCGGGUCAGGUUGCGCGAAAGUGUUUCCUAAUCUUUAAAUCCGCUCGUGAUGGGGAUUGACGGUUGCAAUUUUCCGUCAUGAACGAGGAAUACCUUGUAAGCGCGGGUCAUCAUCCCGCGCUGAAUACGUCCCUGCCCUUUGUACACACCGCCCGUCGCUCCUACCGAUUGAGUGGUCCGGUGAGGCUUUGGGAUCUGAGCGGAAAGAGCGUUUCGCUGUUUCUGCCCGGAAAACUCAGUCGAACCUUAUCAUUAAGAGGAAGGAGAAGUCGUAACA
This 322-nucleotide ribosomal RNA is filed under the name uncultured eukaryote. RNAcentral describes it as "partial 18S ribosomal RNA". It matches the Rfam family "Eukaryotic small subunit ribosomal RNA", at positions 1470 to 1796 of the family's 1831-position model. The record is from RNAcentral.